RNAcentral lists this long non-coding RNA (1211 nucleotides) under Canis lupus familiaris (dog). RNAcentral describes it as "lncRNA (ENSCAFG00000053737.1)". The record is from RNAcentral. Lineage: Eukaryota; Metazoa; Chordata; Mammalia; Carnivora; Canidae.
AUGUGCGUGUUUCAGGAUUUCAGAGGCCGGGAACUGCAAAGUGUCCCUGAACCUCCUCAACUGCUGCAGCUCUCCCCCGCUCCCAGCUUGAAUCUGCUCUUUGCAGGUCAUCAUUUUCUGACGAUCAGGGAGCCCCACAGAACUGGUGUCUUGCGGUGGGUAACCAACCAGAAUGGACCAGGCAAAAAUUCCAGCAGUGGACACACACCUAAGACAACAAAGUUUACUUUAAAAGAAUUGAAAGGGGCGAGCUUAAUUUCAUCAAAGGAACAUCAGGAUGAAUUGUUGAAAACCACAAAAAGCGAUGCCAUUUAGAUCGCCUCCAAAAUGAAUGCUGCCAGCUGUCUGAAAAGACACUUGGGUGCUGGUGUCCAUGCCCGAGGGUAAGGCUCUUCUUCAUCUGAGGCCUCCUAGGAAACUAAGAAUUAGGGACUAACAUGUGUGAGAGCCAAAAUUAAGAAAAAGUGAGAAAAAGUACGGAAUUACUUGUAAGUCAGAGCCCAGAGAGACCAUUUGAGCGGAGAUUUUUCCAGCGCGCAUGCACACAUUUUCAAAUUCAGGGCUAGAGAAAGCAGAGGGAUGUUGAGAACCGACUUCAUCAGAAUCGAGCGAACAAACGCUCAGACUUAGAAGCGUGGAGAAAAGGUAGGAGGCCCUGUGCUUGAAAGAAGCCUGUGAUGUCAGAAGGUAUUUUACAGCAAAGAAGUCCUUUUGUGAAGAGGGGAAACUCUUUUUUAAUUACCAAUGUUCAGUUUACUCCAUGUUCUUCCAGAGUUUAUAAUCUAAGACUUGUUAAUUUGGCACAAAUAUACAUAAAUCACUUCUGUCCAGGGGAGGAAAGGGAGGAUGGCGGUGUCAGCAAGUUUUCAGUAGUGGUGGAAGUGAAUGAAUACAUUUAUGAUUUUAGUCAUCGUGGGUAAUUCUAACACCCUUAUUGUUUAUUUGAGGAUGUAAGGUGACUAAAUAAAUCUGAAUCACAACUGUACUUUAUUGAUUUUGCAGAGUUUAGAGGAAGAUUUAUGAGACAUGGAACCUUCCAUCGGGUUUGGAAGAAAGUAGAGGGAAUGCGGAGAUGCCAGACCGCCACUAAGACCCAUGGACAAUCCCGUACUCACACUUCUUUAUCGAACUUUAAGAUUUAUCAGUAAUAUGCUGCCUUUGCAAGAUGAAAACAAACUAAUGCCAAGAAGGCAUAUUCUUCGGUAUUUGGA